RNAcentral lists this ribosomal RNA (425 nucleotides) under uncultured bacterium. RNAcentral describes it as "partial 16S ribosomal RNA". It matches the Rfam family "Bacterial small subunit ribosomal RNA", at positions 354 to 796 of the family's 1533-position model. The record is from RNAcentral.
GUUAGGAAUAUUGGACAAUGGGCGAAAGCCUGAUCCAGCCAUGCCGCGUGAACGAUGAAGGCCUUCGGGUUGUAAAGUUCUUUAGCCGAUGAUUAUAAUGACUGUAGUCGGAAAAUAAGCCCCGGCUAACUUCGUGCCAGCAGCCGCGGUAAUACGAAGGGGGCGAGCGUUAUUCGGAAUCACUGGGCGUAAAGCGUGCGUAGGCGGUUUUGUAAGUUAGGAGUGAAAGCCCAGGGCUCAACCUUGGAAUUGCUCUUAAAACUGCAAGGCUCGAAUCUCGGAGAGGAUAGCGGAAUUUCCAGUGUAGCAGUGAAAUGCGUAGAUAUUGGAAGGAACACCAGUGGCGUAAGCGGCUAUCUGGACGAGUAUUGACGCUGAGGCACGAAAGUGUGGGGAUCAAACAGGAUUAGAUACCCUUGUAGUCC